ACAUGCAAGUCGAGCGGUAACAGAGAGGUGCUUGCACCUUUGCUGACGAGCGGCGGACGGGUGAGUAAUGCUUGGGAACAUGCCUUGAGGUGGGGGACAACAGUUGGAAACGACUGCUAAUACCGCAUAAUGUCUACGGACCAAAGGGGGCUUCGGCUCUCGCCUUUAGAUUGGCCCAAGUGGGAUUAGCUAGUUGGUGAGGUAAUGGCUCACCAAGGCGACGAUCCCUAGCUGGUUUGAGAGGAUGAUCAGCCACACUGGGACUGAGACACGGCCCAGACUCCUACGGGAGGCAGCAGUGGGGAAUAUUGCACAAUGGGCGCAAGCCUGAUGCAGCCAUGCCGCGUGUGUGAAGAAGGCCUUCGGGUUGUAAAGCACUUUCAGUCAGGAGGAAAGGUUAGUAGUUAAUACCUGCUAGCUGUGACGUUACUGACAGAAGAAGCACCGGCUAACUCCGUGCCAGCAGCCGCGGUAAUACGGAGGGUGCGAGCGUUAAUCGGAAUUACUGGGCGUAAAGCGUACGCAGGCGGUUUGUUAAGCGAGAUGUGAAAGCCCCGGGCUCAACCUGGGAACUGCAUUUCGAACUGGCAAACUAGAGUGUGAUAGAGGGUGGUAGAAUUUCAGGUGUAGCGGUGAAAUGCGUAGAGAUC
Molecule: ribosomal RNA, 650 nt
Filed under: uncultured bacterium
Lineage: Bacteria
Description: bacterial SSU rRNA
Rfam family: Bacterial small subunit ribosomal RNA
Source: RNAcentral